GGCGCGAUAGCAAAGCGGUCAUGGAGCGGCUUGUAAAGCUAUGCAUGCUGGUUCGACUCCAGCCCGCCCCC
This 71-nucleotide transfer RNA is filed under the name Caballeronia udeis. RNAcentral describes it as "Paraburkholderia udeis tRNA-Tyr". It matches the Rfam family "tRNA". Rfam says of the family: Transfer RNA (tRNA) molecules are approximately 80 nucleotides in length. Their secondary structure includes four short double-helical elements and three loops (D, anti-codon, and T loops). The record is from RNAcentral. Lineage: Bacteria; Pseudomonadati; Pseudomonadota; Betaproteobacteria; Burkholderiales; Burkholderiaceae.